GACGUAGGGCGCGAGCGUUGUCCGGAUUUAUUGGGCGUAAAGAGUCGCUAGAGCGGUUUGUCGCGUCUGCUGUGAAAACGCGAGGCUCAACCUCGCGCCUGCAGUGGGUACGGGCAGACUAGAGUGCGGUAGGGGAGAUUGGAAUUCCUGGUGUAGCGGUGAAAUGCGCAGAUAUCAGGAGGAACACCGAUGGCGAAGGCAGAUCUCUGGGCCGUAACUGACGCUGAGGAGCGAAAGCAUGGGGAGCGAACAGG
This 254-nucleotide ribosomal RNA is filed under the name uncultured bacterium. Its description in RNAcentral is "partial 16S ribosomal RNA". It matches the Rfam family "Bacterial small subunit ribosomal RNA", at positions 524 to 776 of the family's 1533-position model. The record is from RNAcentral.